RNAcentral lists this ribosomal RNA (327 nucleotides) under Triticum aestivum (bread wheat). RNAcentral's name for it is "partial small subunit ribosomal RNA". Lineage: Eukaryota; Viridiplantae; Streptophyta; Magnoliopsida; Poales; Poaceae. The record is from RNAcentral.
AUGGCGCUUAGAUAUGGUCUAUCUAUUGCUCAAAGGGCGGGCUGCAACCGCUUAGUUAUUAACUCAGAUAACAUGGAGGUUAUCGAAACCAUGAACAAUGGAGGACGGUCAUCUAGUAUAGCGGCGGCAGUGUUGGACGAUUGUUAUUUUUUAGCAUGUGACUUUCCCAUUACUAAAUUUGAGCAUUGUAAUAGAGAAGCAAAUAGGGUCGCACAUGAACUUGCUAACUUAGCUAGAUUUUCUUCACCUUUGAACUGGUUUGAGGAGCCCUUGAGUGAAAUUGUAUCCCUCCUCAUAAACGAUGUACUUGUUAUCGUAAAUGAAUAA